RNAcentral lists this ribosomal RNA (486 nucleotides) under uncultured bacterium. Its description in RNAcentral is "partial 16S ribosomal RNA". It matches the Rfam family "Bacterial small subunit ribosomal RNA", at positions 30 to 507 of the family's 1533-position model. The record is from RNAcentral.
AUUGAACGCUGGCGGCAUGCCUUACACAUGCAAGUCGAACGGCAGCACGGGUGCUUGCACCUGGUGGCGAGUGGCGAACGGGUGAGUAAUACAUCGGAACAUGUCCUGUAGUGGGGGAUAGCCCGGCGAAAGCCGGAUUAAUACCGCAUACGAUCCACGGAUGAAAGCGGGGGACCUUCGGGCCUCGCGCUAUAGGGUUGGCCGAUAGCUGAUUAGCUAGUUGGUGGGGUAAAGGCCUACCAAGGCGACGAUCAGUAGCUGGUCUGAGAGGACGACCAGCCACACUGGGACUGAGACACGGCCCAGACUCCUACGGGAGGCAGCAGUGGGGAAUUUUGGACAAUGGGCGAAAGCCUGAUCCAGCAAUGCCGCGUGUGUGAAGAAGGCCUUCGGGUUGUAAAGCACUUUUGUCCGGAAAGAAAUCCUUGACUCUAAUACAGUCGGGGGAUGACGGUACCGGAAGAAUAAGCACCGGCUAACUACGUG